GGCCAGCUACUAGUGGAAUAAACCAGCGGU
This 30-nucleotide non-coding RNA is filed under the name Mus musculus (house mouse). Lineage: Eukaryota; Metazoa; Chordata; Mammalia; Rodentia; Muridae. The record is from RNAcentral.